Long non-coding RNA from Crotalus tigris (Tiger rattlesnake), 168 nucleotides. RefSeq lists it as uncharacterized. NCBI's taxonomy places the organism in Eukaryota, Metazoa, Chordata, Lepidosauria, Squamata, Viperidae. The transcript has 2 exons. The record is from RefSeq and is a predicted model, not a curated record.
CUUCCGUACCUUUACACCAGAGAGGUCCCUUCCCUCGGUUGCCUCCUAAAAGCUUCGUCUUCCGUGAAACACCGACCGUUUGUAAUCCACCCGGAAUUUAAUUUAAUCGACAGAAGAAUUUAACUGUUUCCAAAUCAAAGCUUCUCAUAAUGAAUACCUCUAACUUUC